CUUUAAGUGUUCAUGAGUUGAUGGGAUCUUUUGAAGCUUAUGAGCAAAGAUUGUUUAGACACAAAAACUCAUCAUUAGAAAGUGCCUUUCAAGUUAAGCUCAAGGUGUUUAAUAAAAAUCCUCAAAGAGAACCAUUUAAUCAUGCAUAAGUUAAAGGAGAGUUACUUAGAGGUAAAAAUCAAAAUAGAGGAAGAGAAAGAAAUAUAAGAGGAA
Molecule: long non-coding RNA, 213 nt
Filed under: Elaeis guineensis (African oil palm)
Lineage: Eukaryota; Viridiplantae; Streptophyta; Magnoliopsida; Arecales; Arecaceae
Description: long non-coding RNA (EGUI_LNC000679)
Source: RNAcentral